This 795-nucleotide small RNA is filed under the name Pongo abelii (Sumatran orangutan). Its description in RNAcentral is "retained intron". The record is from RNAcentral. Lineage: Eukaryota; Metazoa; Chordata; Mammalia; Primates; Hominidae.
CGGCGCCCAGAUCGUAAUUCGGAAAACGUGCACCCUGACUAAUUCGGUUUUCUGUGGCUACAAGAGCAGGCUUGGCGGGCGGAGGCGCCAGCGGAUGUCUCAUGCAAGGAUCGUCUCUGUGGCUAAGCCUCACUUUCCGCUCCGCCCGGGUGCUCUGUAGAGCCCGGUUUUUCGAGUGGCAGUCCCCAGGGCUGCCGAAUCCAGCAGCGAUGGAAAACGGCACCGGGCCCUACGGAGAAGAACGCCCACGUGAAGUCCAGGAGACGACAGUCACCGAGGGGGCUGCCAAAAUCGCCUUUCCCAGCGCCAACGAGGUCUUUUAUAACCCGGUGCAGGAAUUCAAUCGGGACCUGACGUGAGCAGGGGUCAGACGUUAGCCUGGCAUCGGCUGGUGGGUCAAUGUGGAUGGCGGGGGCGGGGUAUGAGCUAGUCCUCUGUCUCCCACCAGAUGUGCUGUGAUCACCGAGUUUGCUCGCAUUCAGCUUGGGGCCAAAGGAAUCCAGAGUGAGUGGAGGUCCAGGCUUCUGGUGGGCGGGGGUCACACAAGUCUAUCUCCCUUGGCUCUUCUGCCGCCCAAAUUCAGAGAGGCUUCAGCCACAUAGCAGGCCCUGCGUUCUGCUCCUUCAGCCUUUCCCCAGGGACUUCAGGGACGAUAUUUUGGAGAUUAAGGGGAGGUUUCUCAGAGGGGACUUUGUUAUUCACUGACUUGUGCCUCUGGGUGGCUGCAGUCAAGGUGCCAGGAGAGAAGGACACUCAAAAAGUGGUCGUGGACUUGUCAGAGCAAGAGGAGGAAAA